AUGCAGUCGAGCGCUCACCUUCGGGUGNGAGCGGCGGACGGGUUAGUAACGCGUGGGAACAUACCCUUUUCUACGGAAUACCCUCGGGAAACUGAGAGUAAUACCGUAUACGCCCUUCGGGGGAAAGAUUUAUCGGAGAAGGAUUGGCCCGCGUUUGAUUAGAUAGUUGGUGGGGUAAUGGCCUACCAAGUCUACKAUCAAUAGCUGGUUUGAGAGGAUGAUCACCAACACUGGGACUGACACACGGCCCACACUCCUACGGGAGGAAAC
This 270-nucleotide ribosomal RNA is filed under the name uncultured prokaryote. Its description in RNAcentral is "partial 16S ribosomal RNA". It matches the Rfam family "Bacterial small subunit ribosomal RNA", at positions 60 to 350 of the family's 1533-position model. The record is from RNAcentral.